UGCUGCUUUACACAGGUUACAAACAACUAUUUACUACUUUUUCAUAGAUAAAGCCCCUGACCUUCAAGAAAGCUUAAGGGAAAAAAUUAAUUUAAUCCCUUUCUUUCUUAAAAAAAAAAAAAAAAGAAAAAGUGUUUCAUA
Molecule: long non-coding RNA, 141 nt
Organism: Myotis davidii
Lineage: Eukaryota; Metazoa; Chordata; Mammalia; Chiroptera; Vespertilionidae
Exons: 3
Source: RefSeq, a predicted model, not a curated record